Oryza barthii is the source of this 191-nucleotide non-coding RNA. NCBI's taxonomy places the organism in Eukaryota, Viridiplantae, Streptophyta, Magnoliopsida, Poales, Poaceae. The record is from Rfam.
UUUAAGUGCAACCAUAAGUUUUUCACCUAAUUUUAAUCAUUCGUCUUAUUUAAAAUUUUUUAUAAUUAGUAUUUUUUUAUUAUAAGAUGAUAAAAUAUGAAUAGUAUUUUGCUCGUGACUUAAGUUUUUAAAUUUUUUCAAAUAAAACGGACGGUCAAAAUUCGGCGUGGAAAACUAUGGCUGCACUUAAA